This 236-nucleotide long non-coding RNA is filed under the name Medicago truncatula (barrel medic). Its description in RNAcentral is "long non-coding RNA (MTRU_LNC007177)". The record is from RNAcentral. Lineage: Eukaryota; Viridiplantae; Streptophyta; Magnoliopsida; Fabales; Fabaceae.
AACGUAUUUUUGGGUGCAGAUUUGUUCCAAAUUUUAAGCGAAACUUUUACUAUAAAUAUAGAACUUGUAUCAGAGCAAACUUUGAGAUAGAGGGGGCUGAAACAAGGGUUUAGAAAGGCAACAACAAAACUAGGGUUUGUAUAGAGUUUGUCUCUUCGGAACAAACACUAGGGUUUGUGGGUUGAUUCACCUUGGAAAACACUAUUAGGAUUGAGUCUCUUGGUUAUGGGAAGAGG